RNAcentral lists this signal recognition particle RNA (298 nucleotides) under Eptatretus burgeri (inshore hagfish). RNAcentral's name for it is "Metazoan signal recognition particle RNA (ENSEBUG00000000217.1)". It matches the Rfam family "Metazoan signal recognition particle RNA". Rfam says of the family: The signal recognition particle (SRP) is a universally conserved ribonucleoprotein. The record is from Rfam by way of RNAcentral. Lineage: Eukaryota; Metazoa; Chordata; Myxini; Myxiniformes; Myxinidae.
GCCGGGCGCAGUGGCGUGCGCCUGUAAUCCGGCUACUCGGAGGCUUGGGUUGAGGAUCGCUUGAGGACGGGAGCUCUGCGCUGUGCCGCGCUAUGCCGAUCGGGCGUCCACGCCAAGUCCGGCAUCGACAUGGGGAGCCAGGGGGAGCCCUGCGCUCUCCAGGUCGCCUAAGGAGGGACGAAACGGCCCAGGCCGGCGACGGAGCAGGUUAAAGUCCCCGUGCCGAUCAGUGGUGGGAUAGCGCCUGUGAAUAGACGGUACAGAGCAGCCCGGCCGAUAUGGCGGCACCCAACCCUUU